Galeopterus variegatus (Sunda flying lemur) is the source of this 770-nucleotide long non-coding RNA. RefSeq lists it as uncharacterized. NCBI's taxonomy places the organism in Eukaryota, Metazoa, Chordata, Mammalia, Dermoptera, Cynocephalidae. The transcript has 2 exons. The record is from RefSeq and is a predicted model, not a curated record.
UCCUCCUGGCCACUAGACAACAUGACCUCUCUGCCUGGGCAGGGAUCCCGGGGGAAGGGGGCAAUGGGUUGCAAGGGCUUUAAUGUCCCACCUUGACCUCGCCCUUGGCCAGUUGGGAAGAAGAGACAGAGCCCUGGAGUCGAGGCUUGAAUCUGGGGCUCUGCCUGCAAAGGGUAGAAGGGGGUUGGGUUUUGAAAGGUAUAUAAGAGCUUGCCAGGUAGGGCAGGAGUGGGCCCUGCUCAUCCUGGAGAUGCCCAGUUGGUGACUGGACCCGCAGGACUUGACAGAGCUAGGGGAAGGCCUGAGGUAGUCAGAGUGUGGGCACCGGCUCUGCAAAGCCCAAGGAAGGAAACCUUCAGAAGAGGCUGAGAUGGCACAGCUGGAAAAGGAGGGGAACCUGGGCCACCUUGGAGGGAUGGACAGGGUAGAGCUGAAAUCUCCAGACCAGCCCCAUCCAAUAGAACUUUCUGCAAUGAUGGACACGUUCUCUAUCUGCACUGUGACUGGAAAACUUCUUGGGACCUUUGGAACAUCUUGAAUGUGCAAAUCUACCUCUUCAACUGUACCAUUUAUGGACUCUACAGAUCAAGUAUUUAUGAUGAAAACUGAGUAUCCAAAUUGCAUUGUGAGUGUAAAAUACGCGCUGGAUUGCCAAGACGUAGGAUGAAAAAGACAAUGUAAAAUACUCAUUAAUACUGUUUUAUAUUGGAUACAUGUUGAAAUGAGACUAAUUUGGACUUGUGUUAAAUAAAGUAUAGUAUUAAAAUUAA